This is a long non-coding RNA of Oenanthe melanoleuca, 644 nucleotides long. RefSeq lists it as uncharacterized. Lineage: Eukaryota; Metazoa; Chordata; Aves; Passeriformes; Muscicapidae. The transcript has 2 exons. The record is from RefSeq and is a predicted model, not a curated record.
GCAGCUGUCCUGCAGCAGUCACCAAGGCUGUGGGAAGCUGCCAGCAGUGAGCCACCAGACAGCACCUCUGCCAUGGGGCCACCACUGCUGUGGCAAGCACAGCCCCACAGUGCCAGCCCUCCAGGAGGAAUCCAUGGCAUUCCCUGGGCUGCAGACAGGCAGCACACUGAGGGCCAGGGGCUGCAGCAUUCCCUGCACCCAGCCAUGCUGCUCUCAACAGCCUGGCCUGAAGCUACAGAGGUAAAAUAACACUUUUACCCCUCCCGGAGCAGGAGUCACAUCUGUGCCCAGUUCUCCUUCUGUGCAAGGUGUAUUACCAUGGAUAUGUAGAAGGAGGGACAGGCUGGUAAAGUAUUGCAGCAGCAUUAAUUACAACUCUUCCCCAGCUGUUGUGUAAGGCUGGCAUCAGCAGAGUUUGCAAGUGACACCUGGCUGCUUAUUUCAAACCUCAACACUUUGGCAGAAGCUGGAAGAGGAAAUAGGAUCUGCUUGUAAUCUGCAGCGCUAAGAGGAGAGCAAACCUAAUGACUCUGACUGAGGCAUCAACAGUUUGUGCCAGCAACAACACCCUUCUACCUCUGCCUCUUCCCCCUGUAAUAAAGCAGUGGAUAUUUCCAACUCCACCUCCUCUUUCAGAAAAAUCA